GCUGUCAAUGGCAGUGACUGAGUAAAAAUGGAAAAUGCUCACACGUACAGAUUAAUAAGAGCUUCUCACAGUGCGUCUUGUAAACAUUGGUGUAAACACGUGUGUCAUCA
Molecule: long non-coding RNA, 110 nt
Organism: Syngnathus acus (greater pipefish)
Lineage: Eukaryota; Metazoa; Chordata; Actinopteri; Syngnathiformes; Syngnathidae
Exons: 3
Source: RefSeq, a predicted model, not a curated record